RNAcentral lists this ribosomal RNA (253 nucleotides) under uncultured bacterium. RNAcentral's name for it is "partial 16S ribosomal RNA". It matches the Rfam family "Bacterial small subunit ribosomal RNA", at positions 524 to 776 of the family's 1533-position model. The record is from RNAcentral.
UACGAAGGGUGCAAGCGUUGUUCGGAAUCAUUGGGCGUAACGCGCGCGCAGGCGGAUCAGUAAGUCCGAUGUGAAAUCUCGGAGCUCAACUCCGAAACUGCGUCUGAAACUACUAGUCUAGAAUGUCGGAGGGGGUAGGGGAAUUUCACGUGUAGGGGUAAAAUCCGUAGAGAUGUGAAGGAACACCGGAGGCGAAGGCGCCUACCUGGACGACUAUUGACGCUGAGGCGCGAAAGCGUGGGGAGCAAACAGG